RNAcentral lists this long non-coding RNA (236 nucleotides) under Ricinus communis (castor bean). RNAcentral describes it as "long non-coding RNA (RCOM_LNC000779)". Lineage: Eukaryota; Viridiplantae; Streptophyta; Magnoliopsida; Malpighiales; Euphorbiaceae. The record is from RNAcentral.
UUUAUUAAGGACUUCUCUAAGAUUGCUAGACCUUUAACUCAAUUGCUUUGUAGAGGAUGCACCUUUUGUAUUUUCUGAUGAUUGUUUGUAGGCUUUUGAGUUGCUGAAGGAGACACUAACCACAACGCCAAUUAUAGUUUCACCUAAUUGGGAGCUAGCAUUUUGAGCUUAUAUGCGAUGCUAGUGAUUUUGUAGUUAGAGCUGUUUUAAGAUAGAGGAGAGAUAAGAGGUCCAAC